UUAAAUUGAAGAGUUUGAUCAUGGCUCAGAUUGAACGCUGGCGGCAGGCCUAACACAUGCAAGUCGAACGGUAACAGGAAGCAGCUUGCUGCUUCGCUGACGAGUGGCGGACGGGUGAGUAAUGUCUGGGAAACUGCCUGAUGGAGGGGGAUAACUACUGGAAACGGUGGCUAAUACCGCAUAACGUCGCAAGACCAAAGAGGGGGACCUUCGGGCCUCUUGCCAUCAGAUGUGCCCAGAUGGGAUUAGCUUGUUGGUGAGGUAACGGCUCACCAAGGCGACGAUCCCUAGCUGGUCUGAGAGGAUGACCAGCCACACUGGAACUGAGACACGGUCCAGACUCCUACGGGAGGCAGCAGUGGGGAAUAUUGCACAAUGGGCGCAAGCCUGAUGCAGCCAUGCCGCGUGUAUGAAGAAGGCCUUCGGGUUGUAAAGUACUUUCAGCGGGGAGGAAGGUGUUGUGGUUAAUAACCACAGCAAUUGACGUUACCCGCAGAAGAAGCACCGGCUAACUCCGUGCCAGCAGCCGCGGUAAUACGGAGGGUGCAAGCGUUAAUCGGAAUUACUGGGCGUAAAGCGCACGCAGGCGGUCUGUCAAGUCGGAUGUGAAAUCCCCGGGCUCAACCUGGGAACUGCAUUCGAAACUGGCAGGCUUGAGUCUUGUAGAGGGGGGUAGAAUUCCAGGUGUAGCGGUGAAAUGCGUAGAGAUCUGGAGGAAUACCGGUGGCGAAGGCGGCCCCCUGGACAAAGACUGACGCUCAGGUGCGAAAGCGUGGGGAGCAAACAGGAUUAGAUACCCUGGUAGUCCACGCCGUAAACGAUGUCUACUUGGAGGUUGUGCCCUUGAGGCGUGGCUUCCGGAGCUAACGCGUUAAGUAGACCGCCUGGGGAGUACGGCCGCAAGGUUAAAACUCAAAUGAAUUGACGGGGGCCCGCACAAGCGGUGGAGCAUGUGGUUUAAUUCGAUGCAACGCGAAGAACCUUACCUGGUCUUGACAUCCACAGAACUUUCCAGAGAUGGAUUGGUGCCUUCGGGAACUGUGAGACAGGUGCUGCAUGGCUGUCGUCAGCUCGUGUUGUGAAAUGUUGGGUUAAGUCCCGCAACGAGCGCAACCCUUAUCCUUUGUUGCCAGCGAUUAGGUCGGGAACUCAAAGGAGACUGCCAGUGAUAAACUGGAGGAAGGUGGGGAUGACGUCAAGUCAUCAUGGCCCUUACGACCAGGGCUACACACGUGCUACAAUGGCGCAUACAAAGAGAAGCGACCUCGCGAGAGCAAGCGGACCUCAUAAAGUGCGUCGUAGUCCGGAUUGGAGUCUGCAACUCGACUCCAUGAAGUCGGAAUCGCUAGUAAUCGUGGAUCAGAAUGCCACGGUGAAUACGUUCCCGGGCCUUGUACACACCGCCCGUCACACCAUGGGAGUGGGUUGCAAAAGAAGUAGGUAGCUUAACCUUCGGGAGGGCGCUUACCACUUUGUGAUUCAUGACUGGGGUGAAGUCGUAACAAGGUAACCGUAGGGGAACCUGCGGUUGGAUCACCUCCUUACCUUAAAGAAGC
Molecule: ribosomal RNA, 1556 nt
Filed under: Salmonella enterica subsp. enterica serovar Heidelberg
Lineage: Bacteria; Pseudomonadati; Pseudomonadota; Gammaproteobacteria; Enterobacterales; Enterobacteriaceae
Also listed under: 1 other name
Description: bacterial SSU rRNA
Rfam family: Bacterial small subunit ribosomal RNA
Source: RNAcentral